AUUGAACGCUGGCGGCAUGCCUAACACAUGCAAGUCGAACGGCAGCACGGGGGCUUGCACCUGCUGGCGUGUGGCGCACGGGGGAGUAAUACAUCGGAACAAGUUCCGUAGUGGGGGAUAGUACGGUGAAAGACGGAUUAAUACUGCAGACGAACUACGUAAGAAAGCGGGGUCCAUUGGGGCCUCCCGUCAUGGGGUCGGCUGAUGGAUGAUUAGCUAGUUGGUAGGGUAAAGGCAUACCAAGGCCACGAUCAGUAAAUGGUCCGAGAGGGCGACCAGCCACACUGGGACUGAGACACGGUCCAGACUCCUACGGGAGGCAGCAGUAGGGAAUUUUGGACAAUGGGCGAAAGCCUGAUGCAGCAACGCCGCGUGAGUGAUGAAGGCCUUCGGGUUGUAAAGCACUUUUAUCCGGAAAGAAAACCUUGGCUAUAAUACAGUCGGGGAAUGACGGUACCGGAUGAGUAAGCACCGGCUAACUACGUG
This 486-nucleotide ribosomal RNA is filed under the name uncultured bacterium. Its description in RNAcentral is "partial 16S ribosomal RNA". It matches the Rfam family "Bacterial small subunit ribosomal RNA", at positions 30 to 507 of the family's 1533-position model. The record is from RNAcentral.